AUCAGCCUGGGGUGUGCGCGGGCUUUUGGAAUGUCCAACCUACAUUUUUUACAGGGAGCCUGAUUUGAUUCUGGUGGAAGUUCGCCUCGGCGUCAUGCGGAAGCCAGACUUAGGGCACCCACCUGCUAGUCGCAGGUUUUGGGCAUUUAAAGCAGCGGCAGUUUGGACCCCUU
Non-coding RNA from Selenomonas ruminantium subsp. lactilytica TAM6421, 173 nucleotides. Lineage: Bacteria; Bacillati; Bacillota; Negativicutes; Selenomonadales; Selenomonadaceae. The record is from Rfam.